UAAUACGAGGGGGGCAAGCGUUGUUCGGAAUUAUUGGGCGUAAAGGGUGCGUAGGUGGUUCGGCAAGUCUUGUGUGAAAUCUUCAGGCUCAACUUGAAGUCUGCACAAGAAACUGCCGGGCUUGAGUAUGGGAGAGGUGAGUGGAAUUUCCGGUGUAGCGGUGAAAUGCGUAGAUAUCGGAAGGAACACCUGUGGCGAAAGCGGCUCACUGGACCAUUACUGACACUGAGGCACGAAAGCUAGGGGAGCAAACAGGAUUAGAUACCCUGGUAGUCCUAGCCCUAAACGAUGAUCGCUUGGUGUGGCGGGUAUCCAACCCUGCCGUGCCGAAGCUAACGCGUUAAGCGAUCCGCCUGGGGAGUACGGUCGCAAGGCUG
RNAcentral lists this ribosomal RNA (377 nucleotides) under uncultured bacterium. Its description in RNAcentral is "bacterial SSU rRNA". It matches the Rfam family "Bacterial small subunit ribosomal RNA", at positions 521 to 896 of the family's 1533-position model. The record is from RNAcentral.